This 464-nucleotide ribosomal RNA is filed under the name uncultured bacterium. RNAcentral describes it as "partial 16S ribosomal RNA". It matches the Rfam family "Bacterial small subunit ribosomal RNA", at positions 28 to 506 of the family's 1533-position model. The record is from RNAcentral.
GAUGAACGCUGGCGGCGUGCUUAACACAUGCAAGUCGAACGGAAAGGCCACAGCUUGCUGUGGUACUCGAGUGGCGAACGGGUGAGUAACACGUGGGUGAUCUGCCCUGUACUUCGGGAUAAGCUUGGAAACUGGGUCUAAUACCGGAUAGGAAUCACAUGUGGGUGUGUGGUUGGAAAGCUUUUGCGGUAUGGGAUGAGCUCGCGGCCUAUCAGCUUGUUGGUGGGGUAAUGGCCUACAAAGGCGCCGACGGGUAGCCGGCCUGAGAGGGUGUAAGGCCACAUUGGGACUGAGAUACGGCCCAGACUCCUACGGGCGGCAGCAGUGGGGAAUAUUGCACAAUGGGCGCAAGCCUGAUGCAGCGACGCCGCGUGGGGGAUGACGGCCUUCGGGUUGUAACCUCCUUUCGUCAGGGACGAAGCGAAAGUGACGGUACCUGGAUAAGAAGCACCGGCUACCUACGU